This 468-nucleotide ribosomal RNA is filed under the name uncultured bacterium. Its description in RNAcentral is "partial 16S ribosomal RNA". It matches the Rfam family "Bacterial small subunit ribosomal RNA", at positions 28 to 507 of the family's 1533-position model. The record is from RNAcentral.
GACGAACGCUGGCGGCGUGCUUAACACAUGCAAGUCGAACGGAAAGGCCCUGCUUUUGUGGGGUGCUCGAGUGGCGAACGGGUGAGUAACACGUGAGUAACAUGCCCUUGACUUUGGGAUAACUUCAGGAAACUGGGGCUAAUACCGGAUAGGAGCUCCUGCUGCAUGGUGGGGGUUGGAAAGUUUCGGCGGUUGGGGAUGGACUCGCGGCUUAUCAGCUUGUUGGUGGGGUAGUGGCUUACCAAGGCUAUGACGGGUAGCCGGCCUGAGAGGGUGACCGGCCACAUUGGGACUGAGAGACGGCGCAGACUGCUACGGGAGGCAGCAGUGGGGAAUAUUGCACAAUGGGCGGAAGCCUGAUGCAGCAACGCCGCGUGCGGGAUGACGGCCUUCGGGUUGUAAACCGCUUUCGCCUGUGACGAAGCGUGAGUGACGGUAAUGGGUAAAGAAGCACCGGCUAACUACGUG